UAGCCGGUUUAGUAAGUUCCUGGUAAAAUCGGGUAGCUUAACUAUCUGUAUGCUAGGAAUACUGCUAUACUAGAGGGCGGGAGAGGUCUGAGGUACUACGGGGGUAGGGGUGAAAUCUUAUAAUCCUUGUAGGACCACCAGUGGCGAAGGCGUCAGACUGGAACGCGCCUGACGGUGAGGGACGAAAGCCAGGGGAGCGAACCGGAUUAGAUACCCGGGUAGUCCUGGCCGUAAACGAUGCAUACUAGGUGAUGGCACGGCCAUGAGCCAUGUCAGUGCCGUAGGGAAACCGUUAAGUGUGCCGCCUGGGAAGUACGGUCGCAAGGCUAAAACUUAAAGGAAUUGGCGGGGGAGCACCACAAGGGGUGAAGCCUGCGGUUCAAUUGGACUCAACGCCGGGAAACUUACCAGGGGAGACAGUAGGAUGAUGGUCAGGUUGACGACCUUACCUAACGAGCUGAGAGGAGGUGCAUGGCCGUCGCCAGUUCGUGCUGUGAGGUAUCCUGUUAAGUCAGGCAACGAACGAGAUCCGCACCUUUAUUUGCCACCAAGAAGUUACGACUUCGUUGGGAACACUAAAGGGACCGCCGUUCGAUAAGACGAAGGAAGGAGCGGGCAAAGGCAGGUCUGU
Molecule: ribosomal RNA, 631 nt
Filed under: uncultured crenarchaeote
Lineage: Archaea; Thermoproteati; Thermoproteota
Description: bacterial SSU rRNA
Rfam family: Archaeal small subunit ribosomal RNA
Source: RNAcentral